CGGCGGACGGGUGAGUAACGCGUGGGUAACCUGCCUCAUACAGGGGGAUAACAGUUGGAAACGGCUGCUAAUACCGCAUAAGCGCACAGUACCGCAUGGUACGGUGUGAAAAAACUCCGGUGGUAUGAGAUGGACCCGCGUCUGAUUAGGUAGUUGGUGGGGUAACGGCCUACCAAGCCGACGAUCAGUAGCCGACCUGAGAGGGUGACCGGCCACAUUGGGACUGAGACACGGCCCAA
RNAcentral lists this ribosomal RNA (239 nucleotides) under uncultured bacterium. RNAcentral's name for it is "partial 16S ribosomal RNA". It matches the Rfam family "Bacterial small subunit ribosomal RNA", at positions 96 to 334 of the family's 1533-position model. The record is from RNAcentral.